Molecule: non-coding RNA, 45 nt
Filed under: Trichobilharzia regenti
Lineage: Eukaryota; Metazoa; Platyhelminthes; Trematoda; Strigeidida; Schistosomatidae
Source: RNAcentral
AUCCGACCGACGAGUCCAAAAUAGGACGAAAUGCGGAUCCUGGAU